ACGAGGGAUCGAGAGAUGAAGACCGAGGUAAUCGAAGCAAGCGUGGGAAAAAGGAUCACAGAUGUUGCGGAUGGAUAAUAAACCACACAGGGCAUGAGAGAUGUCCUUAUCCUCAAAAUGGCUGAAAGAGGAGAUCGUGCAAAACUGUACGUCGUGAACGCAUAAGCGGCUCGUUUGUGAUUCCCAAGUACAUGGGGCGAUGAGGUUGCCAAGAAGGCAGACAUGUACAUACA
RNAcentral lists this small RNA (233 nucleotides) under pig gut metagenome. RNAcentral describes it as "Clostridiales-3 RNA". It matches the Rfam family "Clostridiales-3 RNA". The record is from RNAcentral.